This is a long non-coding RNA of Bactrocera tryoni, 600 nucleotides long. RefSeq lists it as uncharacterized. Lineage: Eukaryota; Metazoa; Arthropoda; Insecta; Diptera; Tephritidae. The record is from RefSeq and is a predicted model, not a curated record. The transcript has 3 exons.
UUCGCAUUUCGCAUAUUUAAUAUUGGUCGCAAAUACAAUUCGCAAUUAUUCAAUCGCGAGCAGCAUUGCAGUGCGGAUCCCCCGAAAUUCAGUUAAAAAAUAUACAUACGUUCAGCGGUCUUUCCACAUCUCAUACACAAUUUAUUUGACAGUUUUGAGUUUGGCUUCGAGUUUGAGUUCGAGUUCUACAAACAACCGUAAAACAAGUGGAGUAUAGUGGUGUGUGGUGUCAGUGCUUCUUACAAAGCUGAACUGUUGUUGAAAAUACACAUUAAAUCACCUGGCAACGCUUUAGCCGUAUAAACGUCAUUAGCAACGUAAAUAUCGUUAACUUCAUAGAAAUAUCGUAUAAAAAUUAUAAUAAAAUCAACAUAAUACAAAUGAAAUAAAAAAAUUCAGUGCAAUUAAAUAGCAACAAAUAAAAAAAAAGUAUUAAAACAGUGUAAAUGUGAAUAAAAAUCAAUUGGACUGCAAUUUUUCUCGAAUAAAAAACUGCUGCAUUUAUUUACGAAUCUGUGCUAUCGCACUAGUUGUGUUUAUUAAUUCAACGAAAAAAUAAGAUAUAUGAGUAACUCAUUUCAAAAUCACAAUAAAAGGUAA